This 1886-nucleotide long non-coding RNA is filed under the name Populus trichocarpa (black cottonwood). RNAcentral's name for it is "long non-coding RNA (PTRI_LNC001405)". The record is from RNAcentral. Lineage: Eukaryota; Viridiplantae; Streptophyta; Magnoliopsida; Malpighiales; Salicaceae.
UUAAAUAAGUCAAUCAGAGUUCAACGCAGCAGUAACAACAAAACUAACUUUAUAAUAUAAUUUAAUUGACUUAAUACAAGAGUUAAUAUAAUUUCAUAGUUUUGGAUCACUAACUAGACAUAAAGGAAAAUGUACAAAUUACAACCAAAAGAGCAGGUUCUGAAGGUCCAACAAAAGUGACCUGCUAUCAAGUUAUAAGCCUGAAAAGGAUAAAUAAUGAGAGGGUGAGUUCAACAACUCAGUGAGUAGAUAACGUUCAAUACACACACACGAGGUAAUACUACAAUGAGAAAUAUAUAUUCAAUUAUGACUCUAGGUUCUUAUAGGAAGGUUUCUCAAAUAGGCCAUAACAAAAAUAUCAUAUGGUAAAACUCGUCAGAAAAUCAAAAUGCAAUGAGCAUGAGGCUCCGUACUGUGGGAUGAUCGGUCCACACGGGUUGGUGACUCCCCCGACCAACUAGGGUUCAAAUACGAUGUGCACAAAGACCACCACUACCCUGUUAGCAUGGGUAUUCUGACCAGCAUACCAUAGGUUCAUAAUCAUAAUCAAACAUAUAUAUUCAUAUCUUAAGGCUCAACUCAUGACAUCAAUCAAAUGAGGAGCUAUCAAUUCAGAAUUCAAUUCAAAAUAUAUACUAGUUCAUAUCAAGAAUUCAGAUUCAACAAUUGAUCAUGCUUUAUCAUAACAAGGAUAAUAAUAAACAUAUAAUUAUCAAGAAUCAUGAUCCAAUUCUUAUUAACAAAUCAAAUAUUUAUAAUAUUUCUCAUGCAUAUGGAAAAUUAUCCACUCACCUGACUCGAAAGCAAACAAAAGUCAAAAGCAGACACCGAAGAAAAUCCUACUGACGUCCCGCCAGUAGAAUAUCAGAAUUAUCUGAAUAAAAAGGAGACAUAUUCAAGAACGACUCGAAAGAACAUUUAACCUAUUUAAUACAUUUAACUAAGGGUGUAUUUCGUAACCCUAUAUGUUUUUGAAUAACUAGUCAAUUUUCUCAAAAACUAAAAACUUUAACGGUUUUCCUGAAAUCUAAUCCAUAAUAAAACAAAUAAUAAAAUUGAUAAUAAUUCACUAAAUAACCCUCAAUUAUUCAUCAAACUAAUCUACAAAAGGUAAUAUUACAGCUAGGGACUAAUCUGGAAUUUAUCAUAUUUUUAAGGUUCAAAUUGUAACUUUUGUCAAUUGAAGGACCAAACUAAAAAUAUCAUAAAUCCAUGACUAUACUGAAGUUCUGACCAUAAUUAAUCCUCAAUUCUGUCCAAAAUAUCUCAUUAUGCUCCAGGGACCAUUCUGGAAUUUUUUAAAAUUUUUAGGGUCAAAUGGUAAUUUUUGUCAAAUUGGAGGAUAAAAUUGAAAGUGUUUAAAAUUCAUAACUCUACUGGAAUUCUGCCCAUAAUUCAUAUGUUAUUCUGUUCAGAAUCUCGGAAUAUGCUCUAGGGACCAAUCUGCAAUUUUCCAAAGUUUGGGGACUAAACUGUAAUUUUCACAAAUUGAGGGACCAAACCGAAAUUUUGUCAUCUUCAACCUCUAACCCAGAAUUUCAACAGAAAACCUACUGUUGUUUCCAGAUUUCUAACUCAAAAUUCACCAUUUACACAAUUCAUAACUCAAAAUCAUCACAAUCUUCCAUAAUCAACUAAAUAAUCAAUUACCCACAACAAUCAACCCCAUAACAUUCAAAUUAAUUCAUCAAUUAAACCCAAAACACAAAUUUCAAAAACCUAACAUUCAUCAAAACUGAAAUUUAAAGUUCAAAAAACACAUUUAUACAUUUAUAAACCUAAAUCUUACCUUUAAACUUAUUUUCUUCAACUCCGCUUAAUUUCCCUUCUAACUUCCCUCUUUUCUCUUCUUCUUCUUCUUUCCCCUUUCUCUUCUGCCGGUUUUG